Molecule: ribosomal RNA, 1059 nt
Filed under: uncultured Pseudomonas sp.
Lineage: Bacteria; Pseudomonadati; Pseudomonadota; Gammaproteobacteria; Pseudomonadales; Pseudomonadaceae
Description: bacterial SSU rRNA
Rfam family: Bacterial small subunit ribosomal RNA
Source: RNAcentral
AGUUUGAUCCUGGCUCAGAUUGAACGCUGGCGGCAGGCCUAACACAUGCAAGUCGAGCGGUAGAGAGAAGCUUGCUUCUCUUGAGAGCGGCGGACGGGUGAGUAAUGCCUAGGAAUCUGCCUGGUAGUGGGGGAUAACGUUCGGAAACGGACGCUAAUACCGCAUACGUCCUACGGGAGAAAGCAGGGGACCUUCGGGCCUUGCGCUAUCAGAUGAGCCUAGGUCGGAUUAGCUAGUUGGUGAGGUAAUGGCUCACCAAGGCGACGAUCCGUAACUGGUCUGAGAGGAUGAUCAGUCACACUGGAACUGAGACACGGUCCAGACUCCUACGGGAGGCAGCAGUGGGGAAUAUUGGACAAUGGGCGAAAGCCUGAUCCAGCCAUGCCGCGUGUGUGAAGAAGGUCUUCGGAUUGUAAAGCACUUUAAGUUGGGAGGAAGGGUUGUAGAUUAAUACUCUGCAAUUUUGACGUUACCGACAGAAUAAGCACCGGCUAACUCUGUGCCAGCAGCCGCGGUAAUACAGAGGGUGCAAGCGUUAAUCGGGAUUACUGGGCGUAAAGCGCGCGUAGGUGGUUUGUUAAGUUGGAUGUGAAAUCCCCGGGCUCAACCUGGGAACUGCAUUCAAAACUGACUGACUAGAGUAUGGUAGAGGGUGGUGGAAUUUCCUGUGUAGCGGUGAAAUGCGUAGAUAUAGGAAGGAACACCAGUGGCGAAGGCGACCACCUGGACUAAUACUGACACUGAGGUGCGAAAGCGUGGGGAGCAAACAGGAUUAGAUACCCUGGUAGUCCACGCCGUAAACGAUGUCAACUAGCCGUUGGAAGCCUUGAGCUUUUAGUGGCGCAGCUAACGCAUUAAGUUGACCGCCUGGGGAGUACGGCCGCAAGGUUAAAACUCAAAUGAAUUGACGGGGGCCCGCACAAGCGGUGGAGCAUGUGGUUUAAUUCGAAGCAACGCGAAGAACCUUACCAGGCCUUGACAUCCAAUGAACUUUCUAGAGAUAGAUUGGUGCCUUCGGGAACAUUGAGACAGGUGCUGCAUGGCUGUCGUCAGCUCGUG